Molecule: ribosomal RNA, 460 nt
Filed under: uncultured bacterium
Lineage: Bacteria
Description: partial 16S ribosomal RNA
Rfam family: Bacterial small subunit ribosomal RNA
Source: RNAcentral
CCUACGGGUGGCAGCAGUGAGGAAUAUUGGUCAAUGGCCGGAAGGCUGAACCAGCCAUGCCGCGUGAAGGUCAGUGCCCUAUGGGCGUUAAACUUCUUUUGUGCGGGAGCAAUAAUGGUCACGUGUGGCCAGACGAGAGUACCGUACGAAUAAGCAUCGGCUAACUCCGUGCCAGCAGCCGCGGUAAUACGGGGGAUGCAAGCGUUAUCCGGAUUUAUUGGGUUUUAAGGGUGCGUAGGCUGUGAGGUAAGUCAGCGGUGAAAUGCCCCCGCGCAACGGGGUGAAGAGCCAUUGAUACUGCCUGGCUGGAAUGCGGAUGCCGUGGGAGGAAUGUGUGGUGUAGCGGUGAAAUGCAUAGAUAUCACACAGAACACCGAUUGCGAAGGCAUCUCACGAAUCCGCGAUUGACGCUGAUGCACGAAAGCGUGGGUAUCAAACAGGAUUAGAUACCCGUGUAGUC